UAGGGAAUAUUGGACAAUGGGGGCGACCCUGAUCCAGCCAUGCCGCGUGAGUGAAGAAGGCCCUCGGGUUGUAAAGCUCUUUUGUCCGGAAAGAAAAGCUUCGGGUUAAUACCCCGGGGUUCUGACGGUACCGGAAGAAUAAGCACCGGCUAACUUCGUGCCAGCAGCCGCGGUAAUACGAAGGGUGCAAGCGUUACUCGGAAUUACUGGGCGUAAAGCGUGCGUAGGUGGUUGUUUAAGUCUGAUGUGAAAGCCCUGGGCUCAACCUGGGAAUGGCAUUGGAAACUGGGCAGCUAGAGUGCGGUAGAGGGUAGUGGAAUUCCCGGUGUAGCAGUGAAAUGCGUAGAGAGCGGGAGGAACAUCUGUGGCGAAGGCGACUGCCUGGACCAGCACUGACACUGAGGCGCGAAAGCGUGGGGAGCAAACA
RNAcentral lists this ribosomal RNA (427 nucleotides) under uncultured bacterium. RNAcentral's name for it is "bacterial SSU rRNA". It matches the Rfam family "Bacterial small subunit ribosomal RNA", at positions 355 to 774 of the family's 1533-position model. The record is from RNAcentral.